UACGAAGGGGGCUAGCGUUGUUCGGAUUUACUGGGCGUAAAGCGCACGUAGGCGGUUUGUUAAGUGAGAGGUGAAAUCCCAGAGCUCAACUCUGGAACUGCCUUUCAUACUGGCAAGCUAGAGUCCGGAAGAGGUAAGUGGAACUCCUAGUGUAGAGGUGGAAUUCGUAGAUAUUAGGAAGAACACCAGUGGCGAAGGCGGCUUACUGGUCCGGAACUGACGCUGAGGUGCGAAAGCGU
RNAcentral lists this ribosomal RNA (239 nucleotides) under uncultured bacterium. Its description in RNAcentral is "partial 16S ribosomal RNA". It matches the Rfam family "Bacterial small subunit ribosomal RNA", at positions 524 to 762 of the family's 1533-position model. The record is from RNAcentral.